Molecule: unclassified non-coding RNA, 931 nt
Filed under: Hevea brasiliensis (rubber tree)
Lineage: Eukaryota; Viridiplantae; Streptophyta; Magnoliopsida; Malpighiales; Euphorbiaceae
Source: RNAcentral
GUCCACCAGUGUCCGGCAAACCCAAGACAUUUGCUUGACCAAAGUAUCCAUGAGGAGAUAAUAUGACAACAUUAAACACCAUUGGUAAUCUACCAAGAAAAGUCUCUAAGGUUGAGGGAUCAGGAGCCUGAAGAAUGUCAGAAAGCAGAUGCAUAGUCUCCAAAACACGAUUUGCAGUAUCACCCCAACCUUUCUCAAAGCCCAUUUCCUGCAAUGCAUAUUCAAAGUCAGUAUAGGGUGUAUCUGGUGGUAGCUUUGAGAGAUAAUCAUCUGCCUUAUUAAGAGACGACUCCAGCCUGGAGAUUCGCUGUAUACGUUCAUUCAACAUCAAGACAUUCCCUUUAUGAUUGUGUCCUCUAAGGAAAUCAAGUAAUGGGUCGAGGGAUUCGUUGCUGCGAAACAUAUUUGAGGACAAAUGACGAUUGAGGAAUUGUACUCCAUUUCCAAUGGAUGAAGAGCGUGAGGGACGAGGAACUGAUGCAUUAAAUGGCUCAAAAUCCAGCUCAAGCACAAAAAGAUGAUUAUGAUCCUCUCCAUCGACAAGUUCUUCUUUGAAACGGAGAUAUUCAGGAACCGUCAAUUGUUCAACGCUCAGAUCAUAUACGUUCACACGAACAUAUUCCCAAACACCUGGCCUUGGACGAACUGCUAUAGCAACAAAUGGUGGGAGCACAAUGGCUUCCUGAGUAGAUUUCAAGAUUUCACAAAAGGGGCCUUCUUUCAGCUUUUCACAAGCAGUGUCAUCACAUACAGCAUUAUUCAGCUCAUCAAUUAAAUGAUGAGGCUGCAAUAUCCCCUUCCCCUGCGCCACAUAUCUGGAUAGGAGAGCCACUAGCUGAUUACGGUGAGCAGAGAGAGUAUCCUCAACUCUCUCUCUCAUACUAGGUAUUCUUGACAACUUUGGAUUCGACAUUUUCCAAUUACAACAACA